AGAGUUUGAUCAUGGCUCAGAAUGAACGCUGGCGGCAGGCCUAACACAUGCAAGUCGAACGAGGUAGCAAUACCUAGUGGCGGACGGGUGAGUAACGCGUGGGAACAUACCCUUUGGUACGGAAUAGCCCCGGGAAACUGGGAGUAAUACCGUAUGUGGUCGCAAGACGAAAGAUUUAUCGCCAAAGGAUUGGCCCGCGUUGGAUUAGGUAGUUGGUGGGGUAAUGGCCUACCAAGCCGACGAUCCAUAGCUGGUUUGAGAGGAUGAUCAGCCACACUGGGACUGAGACACGGCCCAGACUCCUACGGGAGGCAGCAGUGGGGAAUCUUAGACAAUGGGGGAAACCCUGAUCUAGCCAUGCCGCGUGAUCGAUGAAGGCCUUAGGGUUGUAAAGAUCUUUCAGUGGGGAAGAUAAUGACGGUACCCACAGAAGAGCCCGAU
Molecule: ribosomal RNA, 441 nt
Filed under: uncultured Rhodobacter sp.
Lineage: Bacteria; Pseudomonadati; Pseudomonadota; Alphaproteobacteria; Rhodobacterales
Description: bacterial SSU rRNA
Rfam family: Bacterial small subunit ribosomal RNA
Source: RNAcentral